AACGCGAAGAACCUUACCUGGCCUUGACAUGCCACUAACGAAGCAGAGAUGCAUUAGGUGCUCGAAAGAGAAAGUGGACACAGGUGCUGCAUGGCUGUCGUCAGCUCGUGUCGUGAGAUGUUGGGUUAAGUCCCGCAACGAGCGCAACCCUUGUCGUUAAUUGCCAUCAUUUAGUUGGGCACUUUAACGAGACUGCCGGUGACAAACCGGAGGAAGGUGGGGAUGACGUCAAGUCCUCAUGGCCCUUAUGGCCAGGGCUUCACACGUAAUACAAUGGUCGGUACAGAGGGUUGCCAACCCGCGAGGGGGAGCCAAUCCCAGAAAGCCGAUCGUAGUCCGGAUUGCAGUCUGCAACUCGACUGCAUGAAGUCGGAAUCGCUAGUAAUCGCGGAUCAGCAUGUCGCGGUGAAUACGUUCCCGGGUCUUGUACACACCG
RNAcentral lists this ribosomal RNA (436 nucleotides) under uncultured rumen bacterium. RNAcentral describes it as "bacterial SSU rRNA". It matches the Rfam family "Bacterial small subunit ribosomal RNA", at positions 958 to 1392 of the family's 1533-position model. The record is from RNAcentral.